UAGCUCAGUGGUAGAGCACAUGCUUAGCAUGCAUGAGGUCCUGGGUUCAAUCCCCAG
Transfer RNA from Camelus ferus (Wild Bactrian camel), 57 nucleotides. It matches the Rfam family "tRNA", at positions 8 to 63 of the family's 71-position model. Rfam says of the family: Transfer RNA (tRNA) molecules are approximately 80 nucleotides in length. The record is from Rfam. Lineage: Eukaryota; Metazoa; Chordata; Mammalia; Artiodactyla; Camelidae.